AAAAAGAUAAGCUAAAUAAGCUAUUGGGCCCAUAACUCAAUUAUGAAGGAAUAAUUCUCUUUUUA
RNAcentral lists this transfer RNA (65 nucleotides) under Achilidae gen. 1 sp. n. 1 SX-2018. Its description in RNAcentral is "tRNA-Met". The record is from RNAcentral. Lineage: Eukaryota; Metazoa; Arthropoda; Insecta; Hemiptera; Achilidae.